This 237-nucleotide ribosomal RNA is filed under the name uncultured bacterium. RNAcentral's name for it is "partial 16S ribosomal RNA". It matches the Rfam family "Bacterial small subunit ribosomal RNA", at positions 15 to 236 of the family's 1533-position model. The record is from RNAcentral.
GAUCCUGGCUCAGGAUGAACGCUGGCGGCGUGCCUAACACAUGCAAGUCGAACGAAGCAAUUAAAGGAAGUUUUCGGAUGGAAUUUGAUUGACUGAGUGGCGGACGGGUGAGUAACGCGUGGAUAACCUGCCUCACACUGGGGGAUAACAGUUAGAAAUGACUGCUAAUACCGCAUAAGCGCACAGUGCCGCAUGGUACGGUGUGAAAAACUCCGGUGGUGUGAGAUGGAUCCGCGU